GUGUCAGCAGCCGCGGUAAGACGUAGGGGGCGAGCGUUAUCCGGAUUUAUUGGGCGUAAAGCGCGCGCAGGCGGCCAGGCAAGUCGGAUGUGAAAACACGAGGCUCAACCUCGUGCCUGCAUUCGAUACUGCUCGGCUAGAGGCAGGUAGGGGAGAUCGGAAUUCCCGGUGUAGCGGUGAAAUGCGCAGAUAUCGGGAGGAACACCGGUGGCGAAGGCGGAUCUCUGGGCCUGUCCUGACGCUCAGGCGCGAAAGCUGGGGGAGCGAACAGGAUUAGAAACCCUCGUAGUCC
RNAcentral lists this ribosomal RNA (292 nucleotides) under uncultured bacterium. Its description in RNAcentral is "partial 16S ribosomal RNA". It matches the Rfam family "Bacterial small subunit ribosomal RNA", at positions 505 to 796 of the family's 1533-position model. The record is from RNAcentral.